GAUGAACGCUAGCUACAGGCUUAACACAUGCAAGUCGAGGGGAAACGACAUCGAAAGCUUGCUUUUGGUGGGCGUCGACCGGCGCACGGGUGAGUAACGCGUAUCCAACCUGCCCACCACGUUGGGGAUAACCUUGCGAAAGUAAGACUAAUACCCAAUGAUAUCCCACGAAGGCAUCCGAAUGGGAUUAAAGAUUUAUCGGUGAUGGAUGGGGAUGCGUCUGAUUAGCUUGUUGGCGGGGUAACGGCCCACCAAGGCAACGAUCAGUAGGGGUUCUGAGAGGAAGGUCCCCCACAUUGGAACUGAGACACGGUCCAAACUCCUACGGGAGGCAGCAGUGAGGAAUAUUGGUCAAUGGGCGAGAGCCUGAACCAGCCAAGUAGCGUGAGGGAUGACUGCCCUAUGGGUUGUAAACCUCUUUUGUUUGGGAAUUAAAGUGCGCCACGUGU
This 449-nucleotide ribosomal RNA is filed under the name uncultured bacterium. RNAcentral describes it as "bacterial SSU rRNA". It matches the Rfam family "Bacterial small subunit ribosomal RNA", at positions 28 to 464 of the family's 1533-position model. The record is from RNAcentral.